AACGAACGCUGGCGGCAGGCCUAACACAUGCAAGUCGAGCGAGGACUUCGGUUCUAGCGGCGGACGGGUGAGUAACGCGUGGGAAUGUGCCCUUCUCUACGGAAUAACCCUGGGAAACGGGGAGUAAUACCGGAUACGCCCUUUGGGGGAAAGAUUUAUCGGAGUAGGAUCAGCCCGCGUUGGAUUAGGUAGUUGGUGGGGUAAUGGCCUACCAAGGCGACGAUCCAUAGCUGGUUUGAGAGGAUGAUCAGCCACACUGGGACUGAGACACGGCCCAGACUCCUACGGGAGGCAGCAGUGGGGAAUCUUAGACAAUGGGCGAAAGCCUGAUCCAGCCAUGCCGCGUGAGUGAUGAAGGCCUUAGGGUUGUAAAGCUCUUUCAGCUGGGAAGAUAAUGACGGUACCAGCAGAAGAAGCCCCGGCUAACUCCGUG
Molecule: ribosomal RNA, 433 nt
Filed under: uncultured bacterium
Lineage: Bacteria
Description: partial 16S ribosomal RNA
Rfam family: Bacterial small subunit ribosomal RNA
Source: RNAcentral